CGCGUAGGCAGACUUUCAAGUCGGAUGUGAAAUCUCCAGGCUUAACUUGGAGCUUGCAUCCGAUACUGUUGGUCUUGAGUAUAUCAGAGGAAAGCGGAAUUCCAGGUGUAGCGGUGAAAUGCGUAGAUAUCUGGAAGAACACCAGUAGCGAAGGCGGCUUUCUGGGGUAUAACUGACGCUGAAGCGCGAAAGCUAGGGGAGCAAACA
RNAcentral lists this ribosomal RNA (207 nucleotides) under uncultured bacterium. RNAcentral's name for it is "partial 16S ribosomal RNA". It matches the Rfam family "Bacterial small subunit ribosomal RNA", at positions 568 to 774 of the family's 1533-position model. The record is from RNAcentral.